This 429-nucleotide ribosomal RNA is filed under the name Chloroflexota bacterium. Its description in RNAcentral is "Chloroflexi bacterium partial 16S ribosomal RNA". It matches the Rfam family "Bacterial small subunit ribosomal RNA", at positions 355 to 776 of the family's 1533-position model. The record is from RNAcentral. Lineage: Bacteria; Bacillati; Chloroflexota.
UGGGGAAUAUUGCACAAUGGGCGCAAGCCUGAUGCAGCCAUGCCGCGUGUAUGAAGAAGGCCUUCGGGUUGUAAAGUACUUUCAGCGGGGAGGAAGGGAGUAAAGUUAAUACCUUUGCUCAUUGACGUAACCCGCAGAAGAAGCACCGGCUAACUCCGUGCCAGCAGCCGCGGUAAUACGGAGGGUGCAAGCGUUAAUCGGAAUUACUGGGCGUAAAGCGCACGCAGGCGGUUUGUUAAGUCAGAUGUGAAAUCCCCGGGCUCAACCUGGGAACUGGAUCUGAUAAUGGCAGGCUUGGGGCUCGUAGAGGGGGGUAGAAUUCCAGGUGUAGCGGUUAAAUGCGUAGAGAUCUGGAGGGAUACCGGUGGCGAAGGCCGCCCCCUGGACGAAGACUGACGAUCAGGUGCGAAAGCGUGGGGAGCAAACAGG